GACGAACGCUGGCGGCGCGCUUAACACAUGCAAGUCGAACGGAAAGGCCCUGCUUUUGUGGGGUGCUCGAGUGGCGAACGGGUGAGUAACACGUGAGUAACCUGCCCUUGACUUUGGGAUAACUUCAGGAAACUGGGGCUAAUACCGGAUAGGAGCUCCUGCUGCAUGGUGGGGGUUGGAAAGUUUCGGCGGUUGGGGAUGGACUCGCGGCUUAUCAGCUUGUUGGUGGGGUAGUGGCUUACCAAGGCUUUGACGGGUAGCCGGCCUGAGAGGGUGACCGGCCACAUUGGGACGGAGAUACGGCCCAGACUCAUGGGGGCGGCAGCAGGGGGGUAUAUUGCACGAUGGGCGGAAGCCGGAUGCAGCAACGCGGCGGGCUGGAUGACGGCCGGCAGGUGGUAACCCGCUACCGCCUGUGACGAAGCGUGAGUGAAGGUAAUGGGUAAAGAAGCACCGGCUAACUACGUG
Molecule: ribosomal RNA, 468 nt
Filed under: uncultured bacterium
Lineage: Bacteria
Description: partial 16S ribosomal RNA
Rfam family: Bacterial small subunit ribosomal RNA
Source: RNAcentral